GGAGAGGUGUCCGAGUGGCUGAAGGAGCGGCACUGGAAAUGCCGUAUACGGGCAACCGUAUCGGGGGUUCGAAUCCCCCCCUCUCCG
This 87-nucleotide transfer RNA is filed under the name Phycisphaeraceae bacterium. RNAcentral's name for it is "tRNA-Ser". It matches the Rfam family "tRNA". Rfam says of the family: Transfer RNA (tRNA) molecules are approximately 80 nucleotides in length. Their secondary structure includes four short double-helical elements and three loops (D, anti-codon, and T loops). The record is from RNAcentral. RNAcentral also lists the same sequence under 1 other name. Lineage: Bacteria; Pseudomonadati; Planctomycetota; Phycisphaerae; Phycisphaerales; Phycisphaeraceae.